UACAGAGGGUGCGAGCGUUGUUCGGAAUUAUUGGGCGUAAAGGGCGCGUAGGCGGUGCCACAAGUCACCUGUGAAAUCUCCUGGCUUAACUGGGAGCCUGCAGGCGAAACUACCGUGCUGGAGUGUGGGAGAGGUGCGUGGAAUUCCCGGUGUAGCGGUGAAAUGCGUAGAGAUCCGGAGGAACACCGAAGGCGAAGGCAGUGUCCUGGCGAGUGACUGACGCUGAGGUGCGAAAGCCAGGGGAGCGAACGGG
Molecule: ribosomal RNA, 253 nt
Filed under: uncultured prokaryote
Description: partial 16S ribosomal RNA
Rfam family: Bacterial small subunit ribosomal RNA
Source: RNAcentral